RNAcentral lists this ribosomal RNA (255 nucleotides) under uncultured bacterium. Its description in RNAcentral is "partial 16S ribosomal RNA". It matches the Rfam family "Bacterial small subunit ribosomal RNA", at positions 82 to 334 of the family's 1533-position model. The record is from RNAcentral.
CUGGGUUGGAUGAGUGGCGAACGGGUGAGUAACACGUGAGUAACCUGCCCUCUUCUUUGGGAUAACGGUCGGAAACGGCUGCUAAUACCGGGUAUUCACUGUCCUUCGCAUGGGGGGUGGGUGGAAAGGUUUUUUCUGGUGGGGGAUGGGCUCGCGGCCUAUCAGCUUGUUGGUGGGGUGAUGGCUUACCAAGGCUUUGACGGGUAACCGGCCUGAGAGGGUGACCGGUCACAUUGGGACUGAGAUACGGCCCAG